UCCAGGCCCUACGGGGUGCAGCAGGCGCGAAACCUCCGCAAUGUGAGAAAUCGCGACGGGGGGAUCCCAAGUGCCAUUCUUAACGGGAUGGCUUUUCAUUAGUGUAAAGAGCUUUUGGAAUAAGAGCUGGGCAAGACCGGUGCCAGCCGCCGCGGUAACACCGGCAGCUCUAGUGGUAGCAGUUUUUAUUGGGCCUAAAGCGUCCGUAGCCGGUUUAAUAAGUCUCUGGUGAAAUCCUGCAGCUUAACUGUGGGAAUUGCUGGAGAUACUAUUAGACUUGAGAUCGGGAGAGGUUAGAGGUACUCCCAGGGUAGAGGUGAAAUUCUGUAAUCCUGGGAGGACCGCCUGUUGCGAAGGCGUCUGACUGGAACGAUUCUGACGGUGAGGGACGAAAGCUAGGGGCGCGAACCGGAUUAGAUACCCGGGUAGUCCUAGCUGUAAACGAUGCGGACUUGGUGUUGGGGUGGCUUUGAGCUGUCCCAGUGCCGAAGGGAAGCUGUUAAGUCCGCCGCCUGGGAAGCACGGUCGCAAGACUGAAACUUAAAGGAAUUGGCGGGGGAGCACCACAACGCGUGGAGCCUGCGGUUUAAUUGGAGUCAACGCCGG
RNAcentral lists this ribosomal RNA (606 nucleotides) under uncultured archaeon. RNAcentral describes it as "bacterial SSU rRNA". It matches the Rfam family "Archaeal small subunit ribosomal RNA", at positions 315 to 921 of the family's 1478-position model. The record is from RNAcentral.